AUGGUCGAAGGUGAUGAACCCAGCUUGCCAUUGGUCCUGAGUGAUAUCAUCCACAAGGCGGUCAUCGAGGUAAAUGAGGAAGGCACUGAAGCUGCAGCCUCCACAUUGAUGCAUCGUAGAGCGCCACCGCCACCUCCUCGGGUGGAUUUCGUAGCUAACCAUCCGUUUGCGUACUUUAUAGUGGAGGAAGUGACCGGCAUAGUUGUUUUUGUGGGACACGUCCUUGACCCUUCUAAUGAGGAGUAG
This 246-nucleotide ribosomal RNA is filed under the name Triticum aestivum (bread wheat). Its description in RNAcentral is "partial small subunit ribosomal RNA". Lineage: Eukaryota; Viridiplantae; Streptophyta; Magnoliopsida; Poales; Poaceae. The record is from RNAcentral.